CUCCGCAGCGCAAGAUUUACUCGACGAUCGUAGUUUUUAUGAAGGGAAAUUCUAUUUGAUUCAAUAUCUUAUGUAUUUGUUAACGUCGAAUCUCUAUUGUAGAUGUCGUAUGACUUUUAAUUAAUGACAUAUUUUUUCUAUUAAAAAAAACUAAUAACCUAUAUAAAAGACCCAAGCACCCUUACUAUUCCUAUGAACAAAAAAUUGACGCUACUGCCCUCCCCUGCCCUUAGCACCCUUCCCAGAUUGAAAGGGGUAGUUUGGUCUAUUCGGGUUGCCCAUUUUCUCUCCUGCUUUUGCUCCUCUCAUCCUCAGUUCCUCACUCUUCUCCUAAGAAUCCUCAAAUUUCUCUCUCUCUCUCUCUCCUCCAUUGAAGCUCACUCUGAGUUCUCCAUUAAAGCGCACUCUAAGUUCUCCAUUGAAGCCUAAUUUGAGUUUUCUUUCCUCCAUUGAAUCAGUUUCUGAGAAAUCGAGCUUUCUUUAACUUGAAUUUUCCGCGAAGUCUGCUAAUGUUUCCGGCGAAGGAAAGGAUGCUUGGGUUUUCGAUGGUGUUGAACACUUCUCUUUAAUUUACGUUAUUAUGAGCAUGGAUAUGGGUGAGAUUUUCUGUAUUUUUUGCAAUUAAAUUGAUUGUUUGUUUUAUUUUAGUUUAAUUAAUUGGAAUUUGGUAUAAUUUGAUUUCAUGAUUAUCGUUGUUAUAUUGUCAUUAAUUUCUUUAAUCAAGUUGUCAAGGGUCAACUCAGGAAUUAAUCUCUCUAAAUUGAUUAGUUAUAAUUUAGUCAUUGGUCUUAGUGAUUGGGAAAUAUUUGUAUUAGCUUCAUAUCUCUGCUUAUUGUUUCUUGGGGAAGAUAGAGCAAAUGGAGAUGGAGCUCGAACAAAGUAGGAAGGAAGUUCAAAAGUACCAUGACAUGUAUGUUUUUGAGCAAGAAGAGAAAUUGGGUUUAGAUGUUGAGCUCCAAGAUUGCAAGGUAUCUUAUCACUGUCCUGAAAAGCUUCGAGGAAAGGAAAUGAAUCUCAGCCGCGUCGGAACAGCAGCAGCUACCCAGCAAUGAGCACCCCUUGCCAGGUGCCAGUGGGCCACAUGUCAUCAGAUGAGCUGUGCUAUGGUGAUGGAUCAUCUAGGGCCAAGCGUACCGUUAUUGCAUGUUAUUGUUGGUGAGGAUGAAGCUUCUGAAGAUUCAAUUGUUCGGAAAUUUCGUUGUAACACCUCUUGUCAAAGUUGAGGAUUCAAGGACUCUGGAUGUAGCAUAUGAUAUGGACCUGAGUUUCUUGGCAGGACCAGCUAAUCGAGGUAUGUUUGGAUUUUCAUUGAUAUGCUGAUGCGUACAUCAUUUUGGUGAGAGGGCUGCCCAGUUUAUCUCUUUGAUUGCUGGAGUUUGUUAAUCUUGAGAGACAAGUCAGCAUUUGAGCUUAGUCAGGUCAGGACAAGUACACGAUGGCAAACGGAAAUGGCCACAUUGGAAAGCCACAUGUUAACGUCCCCAAAUAACGUCAAGUAGACGACAUUAAGUUUCAGGAAUCAGAAAUUUUAAUUUGUAGCAGCAAAUUUAUUGAAGGUAGUUGGUGGUUUACGUCCUUCAAAUUGUAGCCUGUGUGCUUCAUUUUUUUUACCAUCAAGUCGGAAGGUAGAGGGAGUUGAUUCUCGUAUUUGAUUCUGAUGAAUUAACGAAUCUGCUUGGGAACUCUUAACACAUUUGAAGGUGUGUUUAAGGUUAGUGGUGUGUGUUUAAUUAAAACUCUUGUAGCAAACUAUCGAUCACGUGCAAAUUUUAUAAUAGUGUAUGAUAUAAAUUUUUGGUUUAUGGUAUCAAACAUUAGCGAUUGAUGUUGAACAUAUAUUGCCUUUACUACUUACCAUGGUGUUAAAUUCUCCUUAAAAUUUGUUGAUAUGGUAUCAUUUGUAUUGAGUGUAA
Molecule: long non-coding RNA, 1913 nt
Organism: Chenopodium quinoa (quinoa)
Lineage: Eukaryota; Viridiplantae; Streptophyta; Magnoliopsida; Caryophyllales; Amaranthaceae
Exons: 5
Source: RefSeq, a predicted model, not a curated record